RNAcentral lists this transfer RNA (74 nucleotides) under Lithothamnion sp. RNAcentral describes it as "tRNA-Ile". It matches the Rfam family "tRNA". From Rfam's summary of the family: Transfer RNA (tRNA) molecules are approximately 80 nucleotides in length. Their secondary structure includes four short double-helical elements and three loops (D, anti-codon, and T loops). Lineage: Eukaryota; Rhodophyta; Florideophyceae; Hapalidiales; Hapalidiaceae. The record is from RNAcentral.
GGGCUAUUAGCUCAGUCGGUUAGAGCGCACCCCUGAUAAGGGUGAGGUCCCUGGUUCAAAUCCAGGAUAGCCUA